Long non-coding RNA from Gasterosteus aculeatus aculeatus (three-spined stickleback), 1158 nucleotides. RefSeq lists it as uncharacterized. Lineage: Eukaryota; Metazoa; Chordata; Actinopteri; Perciformes; Gasterosteidae. The record is from RefSeq and is a predicted model, not a curated record.
CGGGAGCCCUGGAGGGACAAAACCAACAUCAGCACACACCUCCUGGCCAGUGAUCCCCCCUGUGGGGUUAAUGACCUUAACUGGCCAGCAGAGGCCAGAGGAACCCACAGGUUUGGCUGCAUUACACAGCAGAGCCUGCGUCUGAUUGGUCGACACUCACCUUCUCCGUGCCGACAGGUGAGGGAGCAGGUCAGCUUCACUCCGACUUCCUCCAUAUCAACCAAUUGGCUGCUGAGGCACAACCAGGGUGUCCUCAGGGUCCUACUGGGUGCCUCCACCUUAAGGUUUACCUUCAAACAACUAUGGACACAAAUAUGAGCCGUGUUGUACACAAAGCAGCAGAUGUGGGUCCUGCUGACGGGUUGAGGACCUUCCACGUCCAGCUCUCUCAGUAACUACCCGUCUCCUGGAGGAGCUGGACCCUCUGUGCCAAGUGGCCUCAUGCUCCCAGUAGUGAUGACGAAAGCCAACACGGGUGGAGAACCAGUCAAUGACAUCGAGAGGGAGAAACUUGAAUUGUCCUCCACGUGUCCAAUGGGGUCGUCUCAUUGUUGCCCCACUAGUGCAGCUGAAACGGAUUAAGAGCCCCCUCUGCUACUUACUGACCACAUCAAUAUCAGAGUAUUACAUCACAUGUACAAUGAGUGCAUUCAACCACGAGGACACAAACUCAGAACAGUAACAAUAGUUACGAGCCGUAAUAAGUACAAUGUAAGUGCUACAGUGUGUUUAGUGUUCACAGAUGAAUUCAUCCCCUGAUCAAAGAUGGAUGCUUUCAUCUCUUUGAGCAGUGGGUGUGAAUAUAGAGUCGGACGCUUUGAGCGUCGAUCCGCCUUUGAGGAACCGAGACGACGUCCAUCAUCUGGUGACGUUGGGACAUUUGAUGGACUUAGUUGAGCCACGUACGAGGAACAGGGCCCAGGUAACCGGAGGGAUUCACACCUGUCACUCAGGUGGACGACUUUGCAUCCAUACAAACAAUAACGUGCAGAAGAAUCUUUUUAUUUGCUUUGAUUUUUUAAUAUUUUUUUGUUCUAAGUUUGAUGUAAAAGUCACUCUGACUGCAGAUUUCACAAAGAUUGUCACGUGAUCAAUACUGUCAUGGAAUAACUAAUGUACUCACUUUGGAAAUUAAACAACAAAAACACUGUUAUCAUU